Molecule: small nucleolar RNA, 99 nt
Filed under: Colletotrichum trifolii
Lineage: Eukaryota; Fungi; Ascomycota; Sordariomycetes; Glomerellales; Glomerellaceae
Also listed under: 1 other name
Description: Small nucleolar RNA snR60/Z15/Z230/Z193/J17
Rfam family: Small nucleolar RNA snR60/Z15/Z230/Z193/J17
About the family: The members of this family belong to the C/D class of snoRNAs which contain the C (UGAUGA) and D (CUGA) box motifs. Most of the members of the box C/D family function in directing site-specific 2'-O-methylation of substrate RNAs. The family includes the yeast snoRNA snR60 (also known as Z15) and the corresponding human guide snoRNA U80 (SNORD80).
Source: Rfam by way of RNAcentral
CCAGGUGUUGUGAUGAUCCACACACAUAUGCAUAGUUCAUCUGAAUCUUUGUGAUGAAACUGCAAUUUUAGUCUUUCGCUCCCAUCUGACUGCACCUAA